CUUGAAGAAAAAUCUCAUCUAUUGAGUAUUCUUAAUUCAAAAGGGUACAUGUUUUGUAGAGGAGGAGGAGUCUUGAGGGUUCGGAAGGGCGAUCGUGUUAUAUUGGAGGGGUGGAAAAGGUCUUGGUUAUACAUCUUGAAAGGUUAGACAGAAUUUGUAAAGAAAAGUCAGCACAGAUUUAGUACCAUGGUGGAGGUUUACUUUGGAAAUAUAUCUUUGGGAUUUGGUUCGGGGUCCACAUGGAAGAAUAUUACUUAGUCGAGUUUGGAGGAUAUGGGUAAUUCCACUUUGCUGCCAUUACCUGUGGUUCCAUCGUAUUCAAUUGAUAGGGAUAAAUCCAAUGGAGAUAAGUAUGUGAAUGCUGAUUCGGUUGCACAUGUUUUUAGCUUUUUUAAAUGUGUUGAAACUAGCUAGGAAUCUUCUAUGAAAGCAUUGAGAGUUAAUUCUUCUACCUAGUGCGCUUUAACGUUGUUUGAUAAUUUCUAAUUUUUUGUGAUUUUUGGAGAACCUAGUGUUUGGGUUCUUGUAUCCAUGUUGAAUAUCGUGGAAGAG
This 552-nucleotide long non-coding RNA is filed under the name Olea europaea (common olive). Its description in RNAcentral is "long non-coding RNA (OEUR_LNC001088)". The record is from RNAcentral. Lineage: Eukaryota; Viridiplantae; Streptophyta; Magnoliopsida; Lamiales; Oleaceae.